UACGUAGGGGGCUAGCGUUGUCCGGAAUCAUUGGGCGUAAAGAGCGUGUAGGCGGUCCGGUAAGUCGGCUGUGAAAGUCCAAGGCUCAACCUUGGGAUGCCGGUCGAUACUGCCGGACUAGAGUUCGGAAGAGGCGAGUGGAAUUCCUAGUGUAGAGGUGAAAUUCGUAGAUAUUAGGAAGAACACCAGUGGCGAAGGCGGCUCACUGGCCCGGUACUGACGCUGAGGUGCGAAAGCGUGGGGAGCAAACAGG
This 253-nucleotide ribosomal RNA is filed under the name uncultured bacterium. RNAcentral's name for it is "partial 16S ribosomal RNA". It matches the Rfam family "Bacterial small subunit ribosomal RNA", at positions 524 to 776 of the family's 1533-position model. The record is from RNAcentral.